CACGUAGGGUGCGAGCGUUGUCCGGAAUUAUUGGGCGUAAAGGGCUCGUAGGCGGUCUGUCACGUCAGGAGUGAAAACUCGGGGCUCAACCCCGAGCCUGCUUCUGAUACGGGCAGACUGGAGGUAUGCAGGGGAGAACGGAAUUCCUGGUGUAGCGGUGAAAUGCGCAGAUAUCAGGAGGAACACCGGUGGCGAAGGCGGUUCUCUGGGCAUUACCUGACGCUGAGGAGCGAAAGUGUGGGGAGCAAACAGG
This 253-nucleotide ribosomal RNA is filed under the name uncultured bacterium. Its description in RNAcentral is "partial 16S ribosomal RNA". It matches the Rfam family "Bacterial small subunit ribosomal RNA", at positions 524 to 776 of the family's 1533-position model. The record is from RNAcentral.